ACCAAAAACACCGCCUCUUGAAUAUACCACAUAAGAGGUCCCGCCUGCCCUGUGAUUAUAAAUUUAACGGCCGCGGUAUUUUGACCGUGCAAAGGUAGCGCAAUCACUUGUCUUUUAAAUGAAGACCUGUAUGAAUGGCAUAACGAGGGUUCGACUGUCUCCCUCCCCCAGUCAAUGAAAUUGAUCUUUCCGUGCAGAAGCGGGAAUAAAAGCAUAAGACGAGAAGACCCUGUGGAGCUUUAGACAACACUUAGGCCCUGUAAAGAAUCCUUAUAAACAAGAAGAAACAAAGGGGAUGCUAUUUUGCUGUCUUUGGUUGGGGCGACCGCGGGGCAACGAAAACCCCCCAUGUGGAAUAAGAAGAGACUUCUUUGAACUUAGGGUGACAGCUCGAAGUAACAGAAUAUCUGACCUAAAAUGACCCGGUUUUACCGAUCAACGGAACCAGUUACCCCAGGGAUAACAGCGCAAUCCUCUCCCAGAGCCCAUAUCGACGAGGGGGUUUACGACCUCGAUGUUGGAUCAGGACAUCCUAAUGGUGCAGCCGCUAUUAAGGGUUCGUUUGUUCAACGAUUAAAGUCCUACGU
RNAcentral lists this ribosomal RNA (587 nucleotides) under Salariopsis fluviatilis (freshwater blenny). Its description in RNAcentral is "partial 16S ribosomal RNA". It matches the Rfam family "Bacterial large subunit ribosomal RNA", at positions 1806 to 2601 of the family's 2925-position model. Lineage: Eukaryota; Metazoa; Chordata; Actinopteri; Blenniiformes; Blenniidae. The record is from RNAcentral.